Molecule: ribosomal RNA, 492 nt
Filed under: uncultured bacterium
Lineage: Bacteria
Description: partial 16S ribosomal RNA
Rfam family: Bacterial small subunit ribosomal RNA
Source: RNAcentral
AGUGAACGCUGGCGGUAGGCCUAACACAUGCAAGUCGAACGGCAGCACAGUAUGUGCUUGCUCUUACGGGUGGCGAGUGGCGGACGGGUCAGGAAUACAUUGGAUUCCACUUUUUCGUGGGGGAUAACGACGGGAAAUUUACGCUAAUACCACAUACGUCGUACGUGUGAAAGCAGGGGAUCUUCGAACCUCUCGCGAUUGAAUGAGCCACUGUCGGAUUAGUUGGUUGGCGGGGUAAAGGCCCAACAAGGCGAGGAUCCGUAGCUGGACUGAGAGGAUGGUCAGCCAGACUGGAACUGGGACAGGGUCCAGACGCCUACGGGAGGCACCAGUGGGGAAUAUUGGACAAUGGGCGCGAGACUGAUCCAGCCAUACCGCGUGGGUGAAGAAGGCCUUCGGGUUGUAAAGCCCUUUUGUUGGGAAAGAAAAGCAGCAGGUUUAUACCCCACUGUUCUGACGGUACCCAAAGAAUAAGCACCGGCUAACUUCGUG